Molecule: non-coding RNA, 400 nt
Organism: Globicephala melas (long-finned pilot whale)
Lineage: Eukaryota; Metazoa; Chordata; Mammalia; Artiodactyla; Delphinidae
Source: RefSeq, a predicted model, not a curated record
CGAGAGUGCCCUCGUUGGGAACUGGGGCCUUAGUGGUCUCGUCAUUUACGAAGCGGAUGGGCUCCUGGACUCUGGGGCCUCGAACUGUCUCGGAGACUGAUUGGCAAGAGCCCCUGCCGCCCAGGGGCCGACGGUCAGGGGGCUUGGCCGGGGCUGGAGUUUGGCCGUCGGAGCUCGGCUGGUCAAAGCUUGCCGCUGGUCCCCGGCUAUCCGCAGUUUCCAAAGACGGGAUGAUUCCUUUACCUGGGUCCCAGAUUGAUGGAACAAAGCUGAAGAUGACUGUGAUUGACAAACAGCAUGAAGAGAAAUAAACCUUACUUUUAAAAAGUGAUCUUCAUACCCGAAAAGUUUGAGAACCCAAACUUUUUCUGACAAUUCAGCAUUUCAACUACCAUGUGGA